AGAGUUUGAUCCUGGCUCAGGACAAACGCUGGCGGCGUGCUUAACACAUGCAAGUCGAACGGUAUCGGUGGAAUAGCAAUAGGAAGCCGGUAUAGUGGCGGACGGGUGAGUAACGCGUGAGCAGUCUGCCUUUAAGAGGGGGAUAACACCGGGGAACCGGUGCUAAUACCGCAUAAGACCACGCUACCACAUGGUAGAGGGGUAAAAGGAGCAAUCCGCUUAAAGAUGAGCUCGCGUCCCAUUAGCUAGUUGGUGAGGUAACGGCUCACCAAGGCUGCGAUGGGUAGCCGACCUGAGAGGGUGAUCGGCCACACUGGAACUGAGACACGGUCCAGACUCCUACGGGAGGCAGCAGUGGGGAAUAUUGGGCAAUGGGCGAAAGCCUGACCCAGCAACGCCGCGUGAGGGAAGAAGGUUUUCGGAUUGUAAACCUCUGUCCUUGGUGAAGAGUUCGAGACGGUAGCCAAGGAGGAAGCCCCGGCUAACUACGUGCCAGCAGCCGCGGUAAA
Molecule: ribosomal RNA, 509 nt
Filed under: uncultured bacterium
Lineage: Bacteria
Description: bacterial SSU rRNA
Rfam family: Bacterial small subunit ribosomal RNA
Source: RNAcentral